AACGAACGCUUGCGGCGCGCCUAAUACAUGCAAGUCGAACGAGGUAGCAAUACCAAGUGGCGCACGGGUGAGUAACACGUGGAUAAUGUGCCAUUCAGUGGGGAAUAACCAACCGAAAGGUUGGCUAAUACCGCAUGAGACCACAGUCCCUGAGGGGACAGAGGUUAAAGAUUUAUCGCUGAAUGAUCAGUCUGCGUAAGAUUAGCUAGUUGGUGAGGUAACGGCUCACCAAGGCAACGAUCUUUAGGUGGUCUGAGAGGAUGACCACCCACACUGGAACUGAGACACGGUCCAGACUCCUACGGGAGGCAGCAGUAGGGAAUAUUGCACAAUGGGGGGAAACCCUGAUGCAGCGACG
This 358-nucleotide ribosomal RNA is filed under the name uncultured bacterium. Its description in RNAcentral is "bacterial SSU rRNA". It matches the Rfam family "Bacterial small subunit ribosomal RNA", at positions 29 to 396 of the family's 1533-position model. The record is from RNAcentral.